RNAcentral lists this ribosomal RNA (253 nucleotides) under uncultured bacterium. Its description in RNAcentral is "partial 16S ribosomal RNA". It matches the Rfam family "Bacterial small subunit ribosomal RNA", at positions 524 to 776 of the family's 1533-position model. The record is from RNAcentral.
GACAGAGGGUGCAAACGUUGUUCGGAAUUACUGGGCGUAAAGCGCGUGUAGGCGGCAGCGUGUGUCGGGCGUGAAAUCCCACGGCUCAACCGUGGAAGUGCACUCGAAACUGCGCGGCUAGAGUCCUGGAGAGGAAGGUGGAAUGCUUGGUGUAGAGGUGAAAUUCGUAGAUAUCAAGCGGAACACCGGUGGCGAAGGCGACCUUCUGGACAGUGACUGACGCUGAGACGCGAAAGCGUGGGGAGCAAACAGG